UAGUUCGGAUUGACUAGCACCUUUCGCUCAAGGACUGAGAUUGAGAGCUACAAAGAGCAACGGCUGAGAUGGAGUUGCCAACCUCCAAUUUUUGCCGCACAUCAUCGCACAAGGCAGUUCGGCAGACCACGACUUAUGCAACCGCUCCCCACACCCCCACCCCUCUAUCACCCAUUUGCUAUGACUUUCCCUCUUCACUCCUCCAUUCCUCUUCCACAAAGCUGCUACGCCAACCAGGCAACCACCAUGGCCAUCCCUCCUCUCUCUCUCUCUCUCUCUCUCUCUCUCUCUCUCUCAAAUCUACUAUGGCAACCACCGAAAGUUCGAACCUGCUGCAAAUAUAGUUCCGAACUCAAUCCGGAUUUAAGGUUUUGAAAAUUGAAAGCAAUUUGGAUCUCGCACCGCUCUCCCUGCCCCCAUAACUCUGUGUGACUCUCUCGGCUCUGCCAACCACUAGAAUCUUUAGCAGAAUCUGUCCCUUGCUGUAAGCCAAUUUCUACUAAAGUCUUACGAACUCGAGGUACGUAAACACCAUUCUUUAUCACUUAUAUUUAUAACUCCAAGUGGGCUGUUUGUGUCCUUACAAUAAGUUUUUCACCGUUUGUGAACAUGUACUUCAAUUUUCUGCCAAGUGUUUGAUAAAAUGUGACAAACUACAAUAGCCUUAUGCUUUAAUUUAUGUUUUGAGUUGUGGUGGUAUACGUAUUGUUCUUCAACAACUACACAUUUUUCUUCCUAAACAAACUGAAGCUAUAUUACGAGGUACUAAAAAACACUUCUUUUUUAAUAGCAAAAAAUAAAUUUCAUUAAUCUUUGAAAAUGUUACAAAGACCAGGACAAGGAGAACACUUACAUGGAAGAAGAAGAAAACACAUCACACAAACACAGGAUAAAAUGGCCACUCAUGCUUCCAUAGUUUAAGAGCUCUUGGCAACUUGAAACCCCAUAGUUGUAUCUCCAAAGCUUUUGAAAAAACUUUGAUCCCAAGUCUAAUCUCACGCUUAGAUUAGUCUAAACUUGUAGCGUAGUGUAGAAUCGAAGACGAUUAGUGACAUAUCGUUCUUAGAUUACCAAGUGAAUAGUAGAAACCAAUUAGUGACAAGUCGUGCUUAGAUUAUUAGUUCGAGUCGGAGACGGUCCGUGCCUUUCAAGAUAUGCUAUGUCGGUGAUUAAUUAUAUUUAUCCUCUUGACGAAUUUAGCGGGGCUAGUCAUGACCACGUAUCAUAGUUGAAUGAAUGAAUUAAGACCUUAAACUAAUACAAUCCUAAUGCUACAAAGGUAGGGUGGAGUUGAGAUUCCAUGGCCUUCUCUAUCCCUUAUCUUUAUCUUUCAUUUUAUUUUAUGUUAUUUUUUUUUGUGCAUUUUAUAUUUAAAAAUCCAAAAUCAUUUAUCUUUUGCUCAGACUAAAGUGGAAGUCAAUUUUGGCAAUUGACACGCUUAUUUCCCUGUGGAUCGACUCGGACUUCGUCACUACACUAUGUAAAUCUUUAGUUAUAGUCCAGUUAAUGUAAAUAAAUAAUCUAAUUUGACGAUCAUUUGGUAAGCACAAAAUGACAUUUUUAACGACUACCAAAUGGGCGGCAUCAAUCUGUGUCUUUCUUUUUCAUAUAGUGAAACACUCCUCUUUUCCC
Molecule: long non-coding RNA, 1632 nt
Organism: Rhododendron vialii
Lineage: Eukaryota; Viridiplantae; Streptophyta; Magnoliopsida; Ericales; Ericaceae
Exons: 3
Source: RefSeq, a predicted model, not a curated record